AAGGAUUUAAGUUAAAAAAUAAACUUGUAGUCUUCAAAACUACGAAUAAAGAAGGAGCCUUUAAGCCUUA
RNAcentral lists this transfer RNA (70 nucleotides) under Ochthebius nobilis. RNAcentral describes it as "tRNA-Trp". The record is from RNAcentral. Lineage: Eukaryota; Metazoa; Arthropoda; Insecta; Coleoptera; Hydraenidae.